CAGAUGAUGAUCUGCAUCUGCAAGUCUCCUGUGAGCUGUACUGUUAGGAGCUGUUAUAAUGCUGGAUCCGUGUUUACUUGAGGGAGAAUGUGAGGUUCAGUGAGUGCUUACAGCUUGAUUUUAUUCGGAGAUAAAGAGAAGACCCUGACAGUUGAAGCUAGUUGGUGAGAGUACACCUUCGUGGGGGAGCUGAAAUAUUCCGUGGAAGCGGCAGGCUUUAGCCAAGGACUGAAUGUGAG
Molecule: long non-coding RNA, 239 nt
Organism: Bombina bombina (fire-bellied toad)
Lineage: Eukaryota; Metazoa; Chordata; Amphibia; Anura; Bombinatoridae
Exons: 3
Source: RefSeq, a predicted model, not a curated record